This 211-nucleotide ribosomal RNA is filed under the name uncultured Promicromonospora sp. RNAcentral's name for it is "partial 16S ribosomal RNA". It matches the Rfam family "Bacterial small subunit ribosomal RNA", at positions 505 to 715 of the family's 1533-position model. The record is from RNAcentral. Lineage: Bacteria; Bacillati; Actinomycetota; Actinomycetes; Micrococcales; Promicromonosporaceae.
GUGCCAGCAGCUGCGGUAAUACGUAGGGCGCAAGCGUUGUCCGGAAUUAUUGGGCGUAAAGAGCUCGUAGGCGGUCUGUCGCGUCUGGUGUGAAAACCCAUGGCUCAACCAUGGGCUUGCAUCGGGUACGGGCAGACUAGAGUGCGGUAGGGGAGACUGGAAUUCCUGGUGUAGCGGUGGAAUGCGCAGAUAUCAGGAGGAACACCGAUGG